AUUGAACGCUGGCGGCAGGCCUAACACAUGCAAGUCGAACGAGCGGCGGACGGGUGAGUAAUGUCUGGGAAUCUGCCCGAUGGAGGGGGAUAACUACUGGAAACGGUAGCUAAUACCGCAUACCAUCGGAUGUGCCCAGAUGGGAUGAGCUAGUAGGUGGGGUAACGGCUCACCUAGGCGACGAUCCCUAGCUGGUCUGAGAGGAUGACCAGCCACACGGGGACUGAGACACGGUCCAGACUCCUACGGGAGGCAGCAGGGGGGAAUAUUGCACAAUGGGCGCAAGCCUGAUGCAGCCAUGCCGCGUGUAUGAAGAAGGCCUUCGGGUUGUAAAGUACUUUCAGCGGGGAGGCGUUACUCGCAGAAGAAGCACCGGCUAACUCCGUGCCAGCAGCCGCGGUAAUUU
Molecule: ribosomal RNA, 406 nt
Filed under: uncultured bacterium
Lineage: Bacteria
Description: partial 16S ribosomal RNA
Rfam family: Bacterial small subunit ribosomal RNA
Source: RNAcentral